ACAAAGUGUAGCUUAUUUUUCUCUUUCAUCUCUUAUUUCCUACUUUUCAACUAAGAAAGAAAGAGAGAGAGAGAGAGAGAGUGAGAGAGCUGCCAUUCGGCAGCCAUGGUGGAGAGAAAGGAGAGUUUUUGGUGAGGCAUCCAAACUCCAUGAUCAAGCUAAGAAGAAGAAGAAGGUUUAGCAAGAAAUCAAGCAAAUGUAUAAUAAAAAUUUAUACUUGUGUAGGUUAAACUUCCUUAGUAUUUUGAUUUGAUUUUUGACAACUUGAAGUUGUGAUCUUGAG
Molecule: long non-coding RNA, 283 nt
Filed under: Panax ginseng (ginseng)
Lineage: Eukaryota; Viridiplantae; Streptophyta; Magnoliopsida; Apiales; Araliaceae
Description: long non-coding RNA (PGIN_LNC000319)
Source: RNAcentral